Long non-coding RNA from Schistocerca americana (American grasshopper), 1009 nucleotides. RefSeq lists it as uncharacterized. NCBI's taxonomy places the organism in Eukaryota, Metazoa, Arthropoda, Insecta, Orthoptera, Acrididae. The transcript is spliced from 3 exons. The record is from RefSeq and is a predicted model, not a curated record.
GUCAAAACGUCAAUAAUUCAGUAUAAGCUUCAUGGCGGUCCUGUGUUGCAGUUGACCCAAGGUGACACACCCAUGCUAUUCGUAGGUGAUCAACUUCUACUACAAGCUGAAAUCUAGCAGCUCAGAGAUUGCGUCCUCACUGUGCUACUGAUCCUCGUUCCCGGCAUGAGCUCUGCCACAGCAACAAGCUUCCUGGCAACUGGGGACUCGUAUGCAAGCCUAGCAGGGGAAACAACUACUGUUUCUGUGAUGGGCAAACAGUUUUUACCAGUGUUGUGACAAAAUUUACAACCAUUGCACAUGAAGCCACUAUUGGAGGAAGAAUUCGAAGAAAUAGCGGAUACAUUCUACAAGAAGUGAGUUCCUGAAUUGUUAAGGUUCCAUCAGUGGGAAGCAUACCAGAAUUCUAAGCUGUAAAUGGUCCGACACCAUGUUCUUUAAUUAUGAAAGCUACUUUUCAAUAGUUCUGCAGGCUGUAUGUGAUGGAAUCCAGAAAUUCACUUUCAUUGAUGUUAUAGGGUAUGGGAAACAAAGUGAUGGUUGCACUUCCAUGGCAUAUGUUCUGUAUGAUAAAAUAGUGAAAGAUGCGCUUCACAUUCCUGAGGAUGACUUUCUUCCAGGUAGUGCUCGAAAAACAGCCUUUGUCUUUAUAGGAGAUACAGCGUACCCUCUGCUGAGACACCUGAUGAAAUCUUACGCCAGGAAAAGUCUGUACCACUGGAAAGUUCAGCAAAGCCCUUUUACGAGCAUAACAAAACUGUUGAAUGUGCUUUUGGAAUUGUGGCAUCAAAGUGGCGAAUAUGUAACAAACCCAUUGAAACAAAAACUGAGACAGUGGAACUGAUAGUAACAGUUGUUUCCAUUUUACACAAUGUCAUUAUAGACAAAGAAAAUACACAACAUUACAGAGUAGAGACGUACUUCCCGGAGUUCACACAUCAAGAAGGAACAGCACAACUCCUGCUGAAAUAUGGAAUUUGUUUCAACGUUAUGUUAAUGAAGAAAUAUU